GAUGAAGAAGGUAGCGAAAUGCGAUACGUAAUGUGAAUUGCAAAUUCAGUGAAUCAUCGAGUCUUUGAACGCACAUUGCGCCCCCUGGUAUUCCGGGGGGCAUGCCUGUCCGAGCGUCAUUGCUGCCCUCAAGCACGGCUUGUGUGUUGGGCCCCGUCCUCCGAUCCCGGGGGACGGGCCCGAAAGGCAGCGGCGGCACCGCGUCCGGUCCUCGAGCGUAUGGGGCUUUGUCACCCGCUCUGUAGGCCCGGCCGGCGCUUGCCGAUCAACCCAAAUUUUUUAUCCAGGUUGACCUCGGAUCAGGUAGGGAUACCCGCUGAACUUAAGCAUAUCAAUAAGCGGAGGA
RNAcentral lists this unclassified non-coding RNA (346 nucleotides) under soil metagenome. RNAcentral's name for it is "partial contains 5.8S ribosomal RNA, internal transcribed spacer 2, and large subunit ribosomal RNA". The stretch from base 1 to 119 matches the Rfam family "5.8S ribosomal RNA", at positions 35 to 154 of the family's 154-position model. The record is from RNAcentral.